CAGUCGCCGCGGUAAUACGGAGGGUGCAAGCGUUAAUCGGAAUUACUGGGCGUAAAGCGCACGCAGGCGGUCUGACAAGUCAGAUGUGAAAUCCCCGGGCUUAACCUGGGAACUGCAUUUGAAACUGUCAGGCUGGAGUCUUGUAGAGGGGGGUAGAAUUCCAGGUGUAGCGGUGAAAUGCGUAGAGAUCUGGAGGAAUACCGGUGGCGAAGGCGGCCCCCUGGACAAAGACUGACGCUCAGGUGCGAAAGCGUGGGGAGCAAACAGGAUUAGAUACCCCUGUAGUCCCUGUCUCUUAUCA
Molecule: ribosomal RNA, 301 nt
Filed under: uncultured bacterium
Lineage: Bacteria
Description: partial 16S ribosomal RNA
Rfam family: Bacterial small subunit ribosomal RNA
Source: RNAcentral